RNAcentral lists this ribosomal RNA (230 nucleotides) under uncultured bacterium. Its description in RNAcentral is "partial 16S ribosomal RNA". It matches the Rfam family "Bacterial small subunit ribosomal RNA", at positions 562 to 791 of the family's 1533-position model. The record is from RNAcentral.
AAAGAGCUCGUAGGCGGCUAGUCGCGUCGGCUGUGAAAACCUGGGGCUCAACCCCGGGCCUGCAGCCGAUACGGGCUAGCUAGAAUUCGGUAGGGGAGACUGGAAUUCCUGGUGUAGCGGUGAAAUGCGCAGAUAUCAGGAGGAACACCGGUGGCGAAGGCGGGUCUCUGGGCCGAUAUUGACGCUGAGGAGCGAAAGCGUGGGGAGCAAACAGGAUUAGAUACCCUUGU